This 456-nucleotide ribosomal RNA is filed under the name uncultured organism. RNAcentral describes it as "partial 16S ribosomal RNA". It matches the Rfam family "Bacterial small subunit ribosomal RNA", at positions 335 to 799 of the family's 1533-position model. The record is from RNAcentral.
ACUCCUGCGGGAGGCAGCAGUGGGGAAUAUUGCACAAUGGGCGCAAGCCUGAUGCAGCGACGCCGCGUGGGGGAUGAAGGCCUUCGGGUUGUAAACUCCUUUCGCUAGGGACGAAGCUUUUUUGUGACGGUACCUAGAUAAGAAGCACCGGCUAACUACGUGCCAGCAGCCGCGGUAAUACGUAGGGUGCGAGCGUUGUCCGGAAUUACUGGGCGUAAAGGGCUCGUAGGUGGUUUGUCGCGUCGUCUGUGAAAUUCUGGGGCUUAACUCCGGGCGUGCAGGCGAUACGGGCAUAACUUGAGUGCUGUAGGGGUAACUGGAAUUCCUGGUGUAGCGGUGAAAUGCGCAGAUAUCAGGAGGAACACCGAUGGCGAAGGCAGGUUACUGGGCAGUUACUGACGCUGAGGAGCGAAAGCAUGGGUAGCGAACAGGAUUAGAUACCCCUGUAGUCCCAUG